RNAcentral lists this long non-coding RNA (261 nucleotides) under Mytilus galloprovincialis (Mediterranean mussel). The record is from RNAcentral. Lineage: Eukaryota; Metazoa; Mollusca; Bivalvia; Mytilida; Mytilidae.
UACCCGGUGUUAUUAUUUUUUUUUUUAAUCAUAAAUGUUUUAAUACUUGUAGAUGUUACUGCCUUUCAAGGUGAAUUCUUCUUUUUAUUCAUUCAAGUGCAUAAAAUGCAUGCAAGUGAACCAUCUAUGUAAGGUUUAUGCUGCGUCUCAAGGUUUAUGCUGCACUUGUUUUUAUUUUUGAAUUUUGAAACAGUCGGUUGCUUGUAAAAGUUGGUUACUUUUGCUUGAUUGAUAUUUUUGUCCAAUAAUGUUUUCUCCAUG